UACGGAGGGUGCGAGCGUUACUCGGAAUUACUGGGCGUAAAGGGUUCGUAGGUUGUUUGCCAAGUUAUCUGUGAAAUCCCUGGGCUUAACCUGGGAAGGUCAGAUAAAACUGGUGAACUCGAGUAUUGGAGAGGGUAGUGGAAUUUCCGGUGUAGCGGUGAAAUGCGUAGAGAUCGGAAGGAACACCAGUGGCGAAGGCGGCUACCUGGCCAGAUACUGACACUGAGGAACGAAAGCGUGGGGAGCAAACAGG
This 253-nucleotide ribosomal RNA is filed under the name uncultured bacterium. RNAcentral's name for it is "partial 16S ribosomal RNA". It matches the Rfam family "Bacterial small subunit ribosomal RNA", at positions 524 to 776 of the family's 1533-position model. The record is from RNAcentral.